RNAcentral lists this ribosomal RNA (460 nucleotides) under uncultured bacterium. RNAcentral describes it as "partial 16S ribosomal RNA". It matches the Rfam family "Bacterial small subunit ribosomal RNA", at positions 338 to 795 of the family's 1533-position model. The record is from RNAcentral.
CCUACGGGUGGCAGCAGUGAGGAAUAUUGGUCAAUGGACGAGAGUCUGAACCAGCCAAGUAGCGUGAAGGAUGACUGCCCUAUGGGUUGUAAACUUCUUUUAUAUGGGAAUAAAAUGUUCCACGUGUGGGAUUUUGUAUGUACCAUAUGAAUAAGGAUCGGCUAACUCCGUGCCAGCAGCCGCGGUAAUACGGAGGAUCCGAGCGUUAUCCGGAUUUAUUGGGUGUAAAGGGAGCGUAGGUGGAUUGUUAAGUCAGUUGUGAAAGUGUGGGGCUCAACCGUAAAAGUGCAGUUGAAACUGGCAGUCUUGAGUACAGGAGAGGUGGGCGGAAUGCGUGGUGUAGCGGUGAAAUGCGUAGAUAUCACGAAGAACUCCGAUUGCGAAGGCAGUUCACUGGACUGCAACUGACACUGAGGCUCGAAAGUGUGGGUAUCAAACAGGAUUAGAUACCCCUGUAGUC